ACCAUGUGCUAAGCAGGAGAAGCUGUGUGGCGUGUUUUAAGGCUGUGUGAUAACUGAAAAAAAAAACUAGUUACCUUGUGAGCAGUGUGGAAGUAAUUUGUGGAGUGUGUUUUCUGGAGAUACACUGAUGGGUGUUUCAGAGAAUUGAGUAGAGGUAUUCAAUUACACAGAUGAACGAAAGUCUUAGAUGGUUUGGAGCAUCUUAAGGCUUCUGCAAGCGUGUGUGGCAUCUGGCUGUUGGAACCUCAUUGUGACUUCAGAUAAGAACAAAGAUUAAAUUGUAAGAAGGGCUGCUUGUAAGAGCAUACAGUACAUCUGAAACUGCUGAGGCUGGGACGGUUUUUGGCUAUAUUUCCAACCAGAUCAGCUGCUAUAGAAGACCAACUGAAAUCUGAGUGCAGAGACAAGCAAAGGAAUACUGCAAGGUACUUGUGCAAAAUAUUGUAUGCCAGGACUACUAGGCUAUGCCCAGGUCUCCGGAACCUGCGACGACACUCCACUCCAUCAGCCCUCCAUCUGCGCCUUCGGAUCCACCAGCUCUGUCUCCAUCAGUCGGCCCCCAGAUGUCGGCAGCCACACCAUCUACAUCUUGGCUCCUCCCUCCCUCGACUCCACCGUGUAUUGUCAGCACUGGGAUGCUCUGGGUCUGUGCCAUGUGCCAAACUCCAUCCAAGCCACCAGGGCAUCAUCGUCAUCCUCCCAUCACCAUCCCUUCACCACAUCCUGCCAUCAUCCCGCACCUUUGCCUCUCACCAUUCCUACAACAUCUCCUCGUCCACCUCCAAAACCCCCUCCAUCCCUCCCUAAUUCUGUUGCUUGAACUUUAUCAUCUUCAGUCUUUGCACACACAUCUAUUCACUUCUGCACUUAGUUUUUCUGUAAUUUUUUUUUUUCUUCAGAAAAUCGCAUUGUAAUUUUUAUUUAUUCACUGAUGUAAAAUUCUUAACUUUUCAGUAAUACAGGUAUAACUGAAAUGUUCUACAAAUGGAUAAGAGAGCUUUUCCUUAGCAUUUCUUUUUUUUCAUUUUUUUUUUUUGUAUAAUGUUUGUAGUAAUAAACAUUUCAAGUACAUUUUUAAUGCAUUUAAUAGUAUGUUUUUUGUUUUUCAAAGUAUAUAUGCUGCUGUACUUUUUUAAUGUACUUAUGAAUAUUUGUAAUGUACACUAUGUAAUACGUUAAAGUUUUCUAGAUGUCAAAGUGUACGUGUAUAUACUGAAAAAUAUGCUAAUGCAUUUCUAAUGAGCUGAAAUACAAUAUUUGAAGCACAUUAAAACGAUGCUUCAAAUAUACUCUACCUGUACUUUUAAUACUUCAUAAACUACAUUUUAAAUGUAUUUUAAGAAAUACACUUAAAUUGCACUAAAUAUACUUAAAGUGGUUACAAUUUAACACAAUUUCAAUAUUAAAUAUAUUACAAAUAGGUUAAAAUUGAACUUAUAUCUUGAAAUACACUUAAUAUACGUAAAGUUGUUUCAAAAAUAAUACAUUUAAUAUGCACUUAGUAUAGUGAUGGGAAGUUUGGAUCAUUUUACUGACUCGGACCUUUGAGUCUCGUUCAGCAAAAUGAAUGAAUCUUUUUUUUCGAGUCAUUUCGUUCAUUUUAGCAAAAUAUAAUUAAAAUGUUACGUGCUACUUCCCUAACACAUCUACUACUUAUGCAAACGUUGAUCCCACUACAAACUAUAAUGCUAUAAGAAACCGCAAAGAUUCAUCGUUUACCUGGGUCUUGAUUAGCUCACCUCACCUCUUAUCUGACAAGUCUUCAGGUUUGAGUCGUGCGUUCAUCACGUGACAACCCCAUAAGCUAAACCAAUGCAGUCAGAGCCGGAAAGAGAAUUGAUUAGUUCACCUGUUUCGAGUCUUGGGGUUUGAGUCGUUCGUUCUUUUGUCAUGUGACCACUUGCCGGAUCAGUAAAAUACUAUAAAGUAAAACUGUAUUUUUUGUAUGUUGGAUCACAUUUAAGAAUUAUCAUAAAAUUAUCAAAAUAUGUGUAAUAAGCAUUUUCCUAGAAAUAAAAAUGGUUUGUUCA
Molecule: long non-coding RNA, 2030 nt
Organism: Onychostoma macrolepis
Lineage: Eukaryota; Metazoa; Chordata; Actinopteri; Cypriniformes; Cyprinidae
Exons: 7
Source: RefSeq, a predicted model, not a curated record